UAAUACGUAGGGUCCUAGCGUUGUCCGGAUUUAUUGGGCGUAAAGAGCUCGUAGGCGGUUCGGCAAGUCGGAUGUGAAAUCUCCACGCUUAACGUGGAGGGGCCAUUCGAAACUGCCGUGACUCGAGUCCGGUAGGGGAGUGUGGAAUUCCCGGUGUAGCGGUGAAAUGCGCAGAUAUCGGGAGGAACACCAGUAGCGAAGGCGGCACUCUGGGCCGUGACUGACGCUGAGGAG
Molecule: ribosomal RNA, 234 nt
Filed under: uncultured bacterium
Lineage: Bacteria
Description: partial 16S ribosomal RNA
Rfam family: Bacterial small subunit ribosomal RNA
Source: RNAcentral